GAACCAGCUUGGACCUUGUAGCUGCAGAGCUGUCACCACCUCCAAGGCUUAAAAGAUGAGGGGAAGGAGAAUAACAGAAUCCUGAGAGACGAGAAGAUCCUAUGGUGAGAGUGGACUUGAGAGGAGCAGUGACUCAGGAUCCCAGGCAGCUCAAGAACCAUUUGAGAGAGAGAGACGGAGACAGAGACAAAGUCAGGAAGAUGGAAAUGGAAUCAUCACCUUAUUAUUGGAUGUAUUCGGCUGCAAGUGACAGAAAACUCCAACUGAAGUUGAUUUACAGAAAAUGUCAUAAGUAAUAUAACCAGAGGUCCAAAGGGAACGUGGCUCCAGGGCAGUGUCAGGGCCUCUGCUCCUCUUCAGGGGAUUCCCUUGGCCCUGCCCACCCGCUGUGUUUUGGCUUCGUUCUCAGGCUGAGACCAAGAUGGCACGUCAGUUCCAGGUAUGAUAUGCAGACAUAACGACAUCCAGAGGAAGAAGAGGACUGUACCUUUCUUAAAUCUCUUCCAAGAAUAAGAAUGAGGAGACCUUUCCUGGAAAGCUCUAACACCUGCCCAGAAGAUUUUCUCCCAUGUCUAUUGUGCCAGAAAUACGUUAUCUACACAUUCUUAAACCACUUACUAACAAGGGGAAUAGAAUUAACGUACUUGGCUUAGAUUAAUCAUCUGGGGUGAAAUAGAUUCUGAUGACACGGGGACUUAGACCACUGUAUUGCAACUGUUAUUAAUCAAUUGGAAUGCCCAGAGCCAAAUUUUAGGCUUACCACUAGCAAUGUCAUGAACUUUGGAUAUUACCAUUCCCCCGAGCUUUAUCUUAUUUUCUACCUCAGUUUUCUCACAUUCUUAGUUUUUAAUAUAUUGAAAUAUAUAUUUUAUUGCAAGUGACCUCAAAUCCUUUUUUAUAAUGUGGUGGAGUAAAA
RNAcentral lists this long non-coding RNA (916 nucleotides) under Equus caballus (horse). RNAcentral describes it as "lncRNA (ENSECAG00000046699.1)". Lineage: Eukaryota; Metazoa; Chordata; Mammalia; Perissodactyla; Equidae. The record is from RNAcentral.